UUUUAAAAACAUUUCUGUCCUCAUGUGGUGCAGGUUGUGGGCGGUACAAACUACCGAAUAAAGUUCAAGACCACCGAAUCAACCUGCAGGGUAGCAGAGACUUACAGCGAAGAGGUUUGCCUUCCUAAAUCCAGAUAGACGGUCAAGGAUACCUGCAGCGCUGUCAUCUAUGACGUGCCGUGGCUGAAUGAACGAUCGGUGUCCUCUUUCACCUGCGAAGUAAACACUGUUUCCACGUAAAGAAACAAACUUAUGACAUCUCGACAAUGUAGCAGUACUGAUUCUAUUACGAUCCUCUCUUUGCGUGUAUUGAAUGUCAUAUAUGGAAUAAACGGCCGGCUAGUGCCACUUUAGUAAA
Molecule: long non-coding RNA, 358 nt
Organism: Dermacentor silvarum
Lineage: Eukaryota; Metazoa; Arthropoda; Arachnida; Ixodida; Ixodidae
Exons: 2
Source: RefSeq, a predicted model, not a curated record